GUUUUAAUAGUUUAACAAAAACAUUGGUCUUGUAUACCAAAAAUAAGAUACUAUCUUUUAAAACU
RNAcentral lists this transfer RNA (65 nucleotides) under Layahima wuzhishana. RNAcentral's name for it is "tRNA-Thr". It matches the Rfam family "tRNA". Rfam says of the family: Transfer RNA (tRNA) molecules are approximately 80 nucleotides in length. Their secondary structure includes four short double-helical elements and three loops (D, anti-codon, and T loops). Further hydrogen bonds mediate the characteristic L-shaped molecular structure. tRNAs have two regions of fundamental functional importance: the anti-codon, which is responsible for specific mRNA codon recognition, and the 3' end, to which the tRNAs corresponding amino acid is attached (by aminoacyl-tRNA synthetases). tRNAs cope with the degeneracy of the genetic code in two manners: having more than one tRNA (with a specific anti-codon) for a particular amino acid; and 'wobble' base-pairing, i.e. permitting non-standard base-pairing at the 3rd anti-codon position. Lineage: Eukaryota; Metazoa; Arthropoda; Insecta; Neuroptera; Myrmeleontidae. The record is from RNAcentral.